This 520-nucleotide ribosomal RNA is filed under the name uncultured bacterium. Its description in RNAcentral is "partial 16S ribosomal RNA". It matches the Rfam family "Bacterial small subunit ribosomal RNA", at positions 355 to 871 of the family's 1533-position model. The record is from RNAcentral.
UGGGGAAUUUUGGACAAUGGGCGAAAGCCUGAUCCAGCAAUGCCGCGUGUGUGAAGAAGGCCUUCGGGUUGUAAAGCACUUUUGUCCGGAAAGAAAUCCUUGGCUCUAAUACAGUCGGGGGAUGACGGUACCGGAAGAAUAAGCACCGGCUAACUACGUGCCAGCAGCCGCGGUAAUACGUAGGGUGCAAGCGUUAAUCGGAAUUACUGGGCGUAAAGCGUGCGCAGGCGGUUUGCUAAGACCGAUGUGAAAUCCCCGGGCUCAACCUGGGAACUGCAUUGGUGACUGGCAGGCUAGAGUAUGGCAGAGGGGGGUAGAAUUCCACGUGUAGCAGUGAAAUGCGUAGAGAUGUGGAGGAAUACCGAUGGCGAAGGCAGCCCCCUGGGCCAAUACUGACGCUCAUGCACGAAAGCGUGGGGAGCAAACAGGAUUAGAUACCCUGGUAGUCCACGCCCUAAACGAUGUCAACUAGUUNUGGGAUUCAUUCCUUAGUAACGUAGCUAACGCGUGAAGUUGACCG